This 501-nucleotide ribosomal RNA is filed under the name uncultured bacterium. Its description in RNAcentral is "partial 16S ribosomal RNA". It matches the Rfam family "Bacterial small subunit ribosomal RNA", at positions 30 to 523 of the family's 1533-position model. The record is from RNAcentral.
AUUGAACGCUGGCGGCAGGCUUAACGCAUGCAAGUCGAGCGGGGGAAGGUAGCUUGCUACCGGACCUAGCGGCGGACGGGUGAGUAAUGCUUAGGAAUCUGCCUAUUAGUGGGGGACAACAUCUCGAAAGGGAUGCUAAUACCGCAUACGUCCUACGGGAGAAAGCAGGGGAUCUUCGGACCUUGCGCUAAUAGAUGAGCCUAAGUCGGAUUAGCUAGUUGGUGGGGUAAAGGCCUACCAAGGCGACGAUCUGUAGCGGGUCUGAGAGGAUGAUCCGCCACACUGGGACUGAGACACGGCCCAGACUCCUACGGGAGGCAGCAGUGGGCAAUAUUGGACAAUGGGGGGAACCCUGAUCCAGCCAUGCCGCGUGUGUGAAGAAGGCCUUAUGGUUGUAAAGCACUUUAAGCGAGGAGGAGGCUACUCUAGUUAAUACCUAGAGAUAGUGGACGUUACUCGCAGAAUAAGCACCGGCUAACUCUGUGCCAGCCGCCGCGGUAA